AAAAUACGCAAAAAAAAUAAAAAAUCACAACUUUUCACGGUCACUGACUCAAAAGCUAUCAUGGCGGCUUUGUCAGAAUUGAAAGGACAACAUAAAAUUAACUAAUUAUUAACUCAAAGUGCAAAUGUGGAAAAUAUGCAAUUAUGGAUACAGCACUGUGUGUAGCUAUAGCUUCUACGACAUCUGGUCAUUUAAAGUUGGAACAUUGAAAGCUGGGAAUGUUAGAGUCCAAGAUAGAGGAAGGUUUGCUGGAUUUGAUAUCACUUCAUCACACAGCAUGGUCAUCAGUUUGUCAGUGUGAUGCAAUGAAGCAAUGUAACCUACAUGAUUAAUAAAGAUAUUGUAUAUAAUA
Gigantopelta aegis is the source of this 352-nucleotide long non-coding RNA. RefSeq lists it as uncharacterized. The record is from RefSeq and is a predicted model, not a curated record. NCBI's taxonomy places the organism in Eukaryota, Metazoa, Mollusca, Gastropoda, Neomphalida, Peltospiridae. The transcript is spliced from 2 exons.